Saccostrea cuccullata (small rock oyster) is the source of this 380-nucleotide long non-coding RNA. RefSeq lists it as uncharacterized. The record is from RefSeq and is a predicted model, not a curated record. Lineage: Eukaryota; Metazoa; Mollusca; Bivalvia; Ostreida; Ostreidae. The transcript is spliced from 3 exons.
CUUUUAGAGCAAUGACAUGUAGCAAUUUAGUUCAGGUCAUACGGUGUAUGAGUCUUUUAUCAUUCAGGAGAGCGGUUACAACGGACGUCCCUUGAAUGAAUAGAACGAAAAUAGAGUUGUCGGUUAGAAAGAAAAGGUACAUUUAAUGAAAUGGCGGCUUCAUCCUUCGCCACUGUGAAUACUGCUCCAUAUUAUAGGAACGAUCAAAAUUCAGACGAGGAACGCUUACGACAAAUUUUGAAUGACAUUUCACGAGUGCUAAAAAUGGAGGAAUUUGAUGAGGAUCUUCAAGAAUCCUUGAAAAGAGAUUACCCAGAUUACAUCAAAAUACUAGAAAAUCGUGAUAAGGACUUACUAAAAAAGGAUUGUGCUAUUGUCUU